GAUGUCGUCAUUCGGGGAGCUGGCGAUG
This 28-nucleotide non-coding RNA is filed under the name Homo sapiens (human). The record is from RNAcentral. Lineage: Eukaryota; Metazoa; Chordata; Mammalia; Primates; Hominidae.